RNAcentral lists this ribosomal RNA (449 nucleotides) under Fornixtrema palpebrae. RNAcentral describes it as "partial 12S ribosomal RNA". The record is from RNAcentral. Lineage: Eukaryota; Metazoa; Platyhelminthes; Monogenea; Polystomatidea; Polystomatidae.
ACUGAUGAGUGUAUUUUUUUUAUGGGAGUUGGUUGUAUUUAUAUUUUGUUAUAGUAAAAUAUUUGGUUUAAUAUUGGUUUUUUUUUAUACGUAUAAGGUAUAUAUAUGGUUAUUUUUGGUUUAGACGAGGAUUAGAGACCCUUUUAUAUAAAAUAUUUUAAAUUGUAUGUUUCAGUAAUAAACUGAAAGAAAUUGGCAGCUGAUUAUUUUUUUCUAGGGGAUUGUGUGAUUUAAAUAGAUGGUCCACUUAAUAAUUUUUUUUUUUUUUUGUUGGUGUAUAUCCGGUUUAAACAAAAAACAAUUGUUUUUUGUUUAAACUUAGUAUUUUUAUCCAGGUCAAUAUGCUGCUUUUAAAAAAGUAUUAAUGCAAUACAUUAUAAAAUAAUAUUAGUUAGGUUUAUGGUAUUAAGGACUUAGUAGUAAUAGAAAAUUAAUUAGUUUUUGUGAAA